Chelonia mydas (Green sea turtle) is the source of this 2822-nucleotide long non-coding RNA. RefSeq lists it as uncharacterized. NCBI's taxonomy places the organism in Eukaryota, Metazoa, Chordata, Testudines, Cheloniidae. The record is from RefSeq and is a predicted model, not a curated record. The transcript is spliced from 2 exons.
GCGGCGGCUCCGCUCGGUCUCUCUCGCGCGUCCGAGCCUGCCACAGAAAGUAACUCCGCGGCGCGGCCCCGCUCUCUCCCCCCGUCCAGCCCCCAGCAGCUGCCUACGCUACCAGGCGAAGCGGUGCCGAGUUCUCACCGCCAUUUGCAAACAAAAGUUUUAAAUUAAUGAUAAACCUGGGAUCGGAGGAAGGGCGGCGGAGAGGAGGCCAACGAGGGAAAGUUAAAAUGGCUGGCGAGCCUUCAAAUAACCCUGGCCGUCUCGCCCACGUACGCGACAGAGUCCCAGCCUUCCCUGCCAGCGCUGAUCCGCUGGGGAACCACCCCACCUAUUUUAGGGAGAACCCCCCCGGCACAUGGGGCUGGGAAGGGAGCACCCGGCUCACUUUGGUGAGUUCACAGAGGUGCCGGCGUCUGCAGGUUAAUUAGAUCUGCUUCAGCGUGUGGCACAUGCUUGACCCCCCCCCACACACACACACACUGAAAUACAUCGAGGAGGUGGGGGGAAAGGAGGAUAUUUUAUUUGCUGAAGCAGAGACACGGCUGGCACCCAAGCUGGGGUUGCUUAGGGCGAAGAGGGGCCUUGACACAGGGGAGCUGACCCUCCCCGGGCCACCCUGGGAGAGUGUUAGAAGGGUCACCGCUGAAACGUGUACUUGGCAAGCGGUGAGUGGCGACACCAGUUCCAUUGCGCUUCUGCGUCUCUCCCCCCGCCCCCGCCACACAUUUCCCUUGUGUGAAUGGCGGAGCUGAAGCGGAAAAGGCUUCGGCUCCACGGGGGAGAAGGGGGGGGGGGUGUUCUAGAGUAUAAAUCGCGAAGGGCAGCUUCGCAUUUCAUCCUGCCACUUCUCCAGCAGCGACAUUAAUAACGCCCCCUCCUCCUCCUCCGGGGAGGAGAUGAGCGGGGGGGAGAGGUAGCUAGGCGGACAUGCUUGCCAGAGAAGGCAGCUCCUGCACCAUACGCCACAGAGCCACUAGAUCUAAACCCCUUUUAUCGAUGGCCCUUAGCCACAGUCUUGCCCCCCUUUCCAAGCGAUAGUUUAGGCUCCCUCUGUCACCGACCCCCUCGUCUGCAUCUCUCACUUCCUAGACCGUCCGCGCCAUUUUAGAGACACACAGAGGAGCGAGGGUUUCCGCUGCUGCUGCCGCCAGAGACAACAGGCAGCAGCCGAGCCUGAGCUGCGCAGAAGGAGCAGCAGGAGAGAGAUAGAUACAGCCGGCCUGGCACAAAUGUGCAUUUCAGUCACCAGCUCACGCUGUACCGUACGGUGGGGGAGCACCCCCCCGACCCCCCGCAGUAUCCACAGGGGACGUUAGCAGAUAUUGAUCACGGACGAGUUGAUUUUGCAUAAUUGUGGCUGACAGUGCCUGUGGUUCCCUCAUUUACGGAGCAACAGCUUUGAGAGGCUGAUUGAUUAGGAGCAGCUCCCUCCCCCCUUUUCCCCAGACAGACACACAACCUAUCACCAGGAGGAGGCAGUUUGAAGGCGAUUCUCUCCGGAGAGUAAAGCAGCUACUCAUUAUACAGCAAAUGGCCGGCGCGCCGGCAGCGAGAUAUUAAACUUGCUCCUCUGUCUAACGUUUUAUCUAGCUUAACUAGCCUGAGAGCCUUCUGCUCCCCGCAGGACUUUGUCUAUGCAGCAAGGUUUGUUUGGAGGAAGAGGGGCGGGGGACUCAACUGCACCGUUUUAGACACAAGAUGGACAGUUAUAUUCAGCGAUCAUUUAAGAAAAGCGCUUGGGAAGUUGGAGCGGCUUACAAACAACUCAGUCGGCGUAUGCUUAGCAAUACUUGAAGAGUACCACCCUGCCUCAAAAUAUGUAUAGUGCUUACAAUGCGAAUGUUUCCCCCUCCUGGGAAAUACUUUCCGAGUACUUCUGAAAAUCACGGAACAUUUUAGACAGCAGUUACAAACAAGCAGCUGCGCGCACGUCUAUAGGUUUCUACAUAACUACUGGUCCCAAACCCUCACAUCAUCUUCUCCAGACCGUUUAAAGAAACAGUUAUCCUAUAGAGAGCAGGUAGGCAUGUGCCAGUCAUUUGAUUUUAAGACUCUUCUUCAAACAGCAGAAUCGUACGUUUAUUACGUGAAUCCGAAAGUUACUGUAAAAGCAAAGCCAGGCUUUCUAUACAAAGUUUUGCGAUGUUCCUCUGGGUUAAUACCCCACAGUUGUAGGAAGACUCACACAGACAUCGGUCGUACAGGGAAACACUAAGGACCAUUUCCAUCUCUGCUUUUUCGUCUUAGAACUCGGCACCAAAACAAAACACUGAAGCAACUGCUAUGCAGAUGGGCGGCUAUGAAUUUUUGCUGCUGCUUAGAGCUUUAAUUACUCGCUCUUGAUCCGUGGGACUACGGCACUACACCGCCAAGGUUAAAAUGCCCUGAACAGCUCUGAGCAGAUGUGAGCGAGUUGGCAGACGCGCAAAUGAGGUCUGCCUCUAAGCACGAUAACAAGUGACUAAUACAUUGCAUAUCUCUGAAAGAAAAUUAUUUUUCUCUAAUUUGCAUUAGCUUUUUUUAAAAGCCAGCGACAGUCCCUCCGCAGAGGCAACACUAUAAUCCUGGAAAUACUGCUCCGUGACUUUAAAAGAUUUGGAAGAAGGAAGAGAGUGCCAGUAUUUUGGCGACGUAGACUUGUUUAUCUUUCCGCCUUAGCUUCAAGGCGAAACUAGUUUCGCAAGCAAUGUUCCUACAGAAAUGGCAUACGUCAUAUGAAAGAUUAAUUUAUAGCAUUGACGCUAAGAUUAUUGAAUUACUAUUGGAGUAAUUUCCACCGUCAAUAGCACAACGUUAUUCAUAAAGACUCAACAGCAUAAGAA